AGCGAACGCUGGCGGCGUGCCUAAUACAUGCAAGUCGAACGUGAACGGCUUCGGCCUAGUAAAGUGGCGUACGGGUGAGUAAUACGUAGGUAAUCUACCCUUCAGUACGGAAUAACCUGCCGAAAGGCGGGCUAAUACCGAAUAGGGCGAGGAGCUCGAAUGAGCACCUCGGGAAAGGGAGCCCGCAAGGGCCCUCGCUGAUGGAUGAGCCUGCGUCCCAUUAGUUAGUUGGCAGGGUAAUGGCCUACCAAGACGAUGAUGGGUAGCUGGUCUGAGAGGAUGAUCAGCCACACUGGAACUGAAACACGGUCCAGACUCCUACGGGAGGCAGCAGUAGGGAAUAUUGCGCAAUGGACGCAAGUCUGACGCAGCAACGCCGCGUGAGUGAAGAAGGCCUUCGGGUUGUAAAGCUCUGUCUAGUGGGAAGAACAGCCAGUCGGUUCAUAGCCGAUUGGUCUGACGGUACCACUGGAGGAAGCACCGGCUAACCUCGUGCCAGCAGCCGCGGUAAUACGAGGGGUGCAAGCGUUGCUCGGAAUUAUUGGGCGUAAAGGGUAGGUAGGUGGUCCUAUUUGUCAAAGGUGAAAUCCCUGGGCUUAACCCAGGACGUGCCUUUGAAACGGUGGGACUGGAGUGCUGGAGAGGGUCGCGGAAUUCCCGGUGUAGCGGUGAAAUGCGUAGAGAUCGGGAGGAACACCAGAGGCGAAGGCGGCGACCUGGACAGUGACUGACGCUAAACUACGAAAGCGUGGGGAGCAAACAGGAUUAGAUACCCUGGUAGUCCACGCUGUAAACGAUCAGUACUAGACUUGGUGGGAUUUGACCCUUGCCGAGUCGGAGCUAACGCAAUAAGUACUGCGCCUGGGGAGUACGGUCGCAAGAUUAAAACUCAAAGGAAUUGACGGGGGCCCGCACAAGCGGUGGAUCAUGUGGUUUAAUUCGAAGCAACGCGAAGAACCUUACCUGGGUUUGACAUCCCCUGACAUCUCUAGAAAUAGAGCUUUCGUAGCAAUACGACAGGGUGACAGGUGCUGCAUGGCUGUCGUCAGCUCGUGUGGUGACAUGUUGGGUUAAGUCCCGCAACGAGCGCAACCCCUGUCCUUAGUUGCCAUCAUUAAGUUGGGCACUCUAAGGAGACUGCCGUGGUUAACACGGUGGAAGGUGGGGAUGACGUCAAGUCCUCAUGGCCCUUACAUCCAGGGCGACACACGUGAUACAAUGGUCGGUACAGAGGGAAGCAAAAGGGCGACCUGGAGCUAAUCUCAAAAAACCGAUCUCAGUUCGGAUUGAAGUCUGCAACUCGACUUCAUGAAGGUGGAAUCGCUAGUAAUCGCGAGUCAGCAUUAUCGCGGUGAAUACGUUCCCGGGCCUUGUACACACCGCCCGUCACACCAUGGGAGCUGACUCAACCAGAAGACAGAUCGGGUAACCGUAAGGAGCCCGCUGGCCAAGGUGGGGUUGGUGACUGGGGUG
Molecule: ribosomal RNA, 1473 nt
Filed under: uncultured bacterium
Lineage: Bacteria
Description: bacterial SSU rRNA
Rfam family: Bacterial small subunit ribosomal RNA
Source: RNAcentral